GUUUUUACUCUCAGUGUGUUCUGAGUGACAGUGUGUGUUAUCUCAGUGAGGGUUGUGCAUAGUGUUUGGCUGCACUGAGCCUGUUUUGAGCCAUGUGUUAAGAGUUAUGUUGCUUGGAGUGAGUUUUGCAGGUGAUGUGAACUGUUUAGCUCAGGUGACUGUUGGUAGUGAAGACUGUAGUUAGAGUUUUGCACAUGUAGUUCCAGUUGUGCUCACUGUCGUUUAGCAAUCGAAAAAAACUGUAAUAACCUUCUACUAAACAGCUGAGCAGGCACCCGACCAAUCAGCCUGCCAGAAAACCCAACCAACCACAACAUGGACCAAACUGGCCAGCCGAGCUGAAUCAAUACACUUGCCAAUGAGCAUGCCGGUCAAGGAGACCUGGAACAUGGCGAUUAACAAGCUAGCAGGUUAGCAAACAGGCAAUCCACCCUGAAACCAACGAGGGUGUGUUACAAGAUAAAGAACAAAGACAACAGUAAGUAAACGAGUGAAGAGGUACAGGAGAGUGAAAGUGAGAGAAGAGAGGGAGAGGUGGAUCUAACUAUCAUCCAAAGUCCAAAGAAGUGUCACUCCUUCAAAUCCUAAAUAGUCUCUUCUGUCCUUCGGUUGCAAAAUGACCUCAUACUGUCACGCAAUAAACUAACUCCAAUGUAAAAACAUCAUUGUGAAUGCAACUGUAAAAAACUACUGUCGUCGUAUGAAGAGCCAGAAGAGACAGUGGAGGUUAAACAAGUCAAACAAACAGGACCUUCAUCGUGUAGUGUUUGUGACACCAAACCAUUACUUAUUUGCAUCUGUUGCAUCUGUUGCUCAUUGUUCCAGGUCUUCUCUCAUCUGUUACCCUCCGUCUCUCCUGUCCCUCCGAGUUUCUCUUUUCUAUCUCAAAACAACUUCACAAGCGCUCAUAUUAUGUCUCUAUAUCUUCCUUUAUCCGUCUAUGUAAUACAUCAGCAUCCCAGAAAGAGGCAGCAGAUGCAGCAAAGUAAUUUAUCGAUGCACAGAAUAAAUAUUCCCCCCAUAAACACACCCGUCAUUAGCAUACCGGUGCCGUAUUUCCUUCUUUUCCUUCUUAUUCAAAUCUUACUGGGGCUGCAUGGACAGCAUCUGAAUUGCAAACGUGCACGCGCACACGCAAGUUCCGGCUGUCCCACUCCACCUACGCAACACACUUAUUUGCAUGAAUCAUAGAUAUGCACAUGCAUGUAUGCAUAAAGGGUUCGUUCAGUCAGGAAUACACAUGCAAACACCCAUCAAGUAAUUAGACAACUUUCUUUUUGCAUGAGACAAUCUAGCCUUUCUAAUUGUCUCCUUGGUUAUUGUGCAGAUUUCUCAUUAAACGGAUCGUUCAGUCACGCGACCGGCAUGGACAAACCCAGCUGGCGAUUCAAGGGGGUCGAUGGAUAAACAUCGCAAAGAGUUCGCCUCCAAUGCCGUCUGCUGGUCUCAAUCAGAUUCACAACUAAAAUCCAAUCUCCACUUUGCAAAGGGUCUUUUGUCCCUUAAAUGCCUCGCGGCCAUUAGGGAUUCUGUCCUCAUAACAGGCUUGAUGAACAAUCAAUGCCUGGAGCACCUGUUCUAAAUGACAAUAUGCGUGUGUGUGCAAGUGAAAACUCUGGUUGGCUGUUAGCUGUUUGUCUGCGGGCUCCACCCUCAAUGUGCGACGGGUGCGGAGGUUUGCUUUUUGUCACAUGGUUAAUACUUGAUCUUGAUCCACACUUAAGUGUGCUGACCAGCUUCCUGCCUCUUUGCUUUUUGUGGUUCCAGUUCUAGUCAGAGAUUAGGAAACAGUUUUUUGAGGGUCUCUCUUGAGUACAGCAUACGGCCAAUUUAAAAAGCGGUCUCUAUCAGGUGUCUGUCAUUCCGCUCUCUCAUGUUGAGGAGGGAGCGAUAUUUGAAGUUUUGAGCUGAAAGUCUGACUAUGAGUCUAAAUAUCUCCCGCUCAGAUCUGUGUGAAGAAAAUUGGAAAACCUCCGACGUGAUCUGGCUUUUUUGAAGCGUCGGCAUUGAACGACCUGGACGGAGACGUUCGGCUCGAAGGGGAACCGCCAGCGGCGCUUCCAGCUUUUCUGCAGAAGAAAGAGAUGUUUGACGUAUUUCUGACAGGGUUUGAUGUAGUUUGAUGUAACAAACACCAGCUCAUCUCUGCACACGCUGUAGUCUGUUUACUCUUUACCCACCAGGUCCCGCUCUAAUGAGCUGUGCUCGGCCAUCUGCCCGGUCACAUGCUGGUAAUGCCCCCCCCCUGGGAGACGAACACUGUCUCAGUGGUCCGGCUGAGUAAACAUAUGUGGCUGAUUAGAAUAAGUGUGGUUCCGUUCUCUUGUGUCGCAGUGCAGCGAACUGGGACUGGGCCACAAUUAAUGUUGUUAAGUACACCUGUGUUGGGCCGGCAGUAAGAUGUUAAGAUGUCUACCAUUGACUCCCGUUCUGACGCCUGUCUCACACUUCAGAAGGUUCAACUUGCUGCCAUUGAGCUGACUGUGAUCUCAGUUGACGGUUGUUGACAGUUGAACACGCGGCUUCAGAACAUCCCACCAUUCCACCGCAAACAUCAUCCUCCCCUUCGCGUGCUUCUUACCUGGUGGGAACCGAGACAGAAAAGGUGCGUCUCCAUCUCCAGGUCCACAUCCUUCAGGGAUGCGCUGAGAUUCAUCCGUGUCCAGGAGCGCUAGCAGAGGUCGCCAGCAGAUGAGGCCCCCGGGUCCCCGAAGAGGAAGUUGACUAGGGGGGUUAAACGGAUAAUAUUUCUGUCCUCGUCUCUUCACCUUUCCCAGCAGACCUGCCUCGACGCCGCGGAGCCUCGUCCGCCCGACGCAAAAGACCUCUGCUCCACUUUUUCGAGAGUAGAUAUCAUUCAGAAUAAAUAAGUGGCUCAUUGGUAAAUCUCUGAGAUGACGCGACGAAGCUUCAUUCCCAAGUAGCCGUCCAAUAGAAGACCUUCUUCCAGUUAUUCGCACGCAGACUUCGUUUCUUUGGUUCUCUCCUUCACGCGGCGCUCGUCUCUGUGGCAGCCUGUCGCAGCCGCGUCGCUUUUCAUUCAUUCACCCUCAUUCACUCUACUUCAUGCUUCAUUUCAAUCAUCUGUGGACAUUCACUCACUUAUCCCUCGGUUAAUUUACUCAUUCAAUCAUGGAAUCAGUCUCACUCCAGCCUGUUGGCUCGAUGGCCGACACAUUAACCCAUGCGUUGGUUCACUUCCCGACUCAUUUAGCAGCUCAUCCAUUUCAAUCAGCCUCAGUUCACCCAUUCAUCGUCUGUGCUCUAUGCGUUUAGUCCUUCCACCUCGGUCACUGUCAUUCAUUCGCUCAUUCACUGGAGAUCUUGUUGAGCGGCUGUCAAAUCGCUGGAUGUGAGACAGUGAUUCUGCUCCGUUAACCCACUCGGACGGCUAAACAGACUGCAGAGCGAAGCCCCGUCAGUUACCAUGUAUCCAUGUGCACUAAGCGUGUGUGCCUGUGUGUGUGUGUGUGUGUGUGUGUGUGUUUAGCAGUACGCGAGCAGUGUACCAACAGCAGCUUGCCUCGUCUUUUGUCCGGGACGAGCUAAUGAAGAAAAUGGAGCGAACCGAGACUCGCUUCUGGAAGUUUACACAGAGAGACAGAAUUAUUCCGCCAUCGCCGGCUCUCGUGGAGCCACGUUUCUCUCCUCCGCGUUGCUCCGGGGAGUCGGGAAAUAUCCACGCAGGAGCUUCAGGAACAUGCUCGGCCUUCAGAAUAACAAUAGUGCGGAGAUGAAUUUGUGUGGUAAUAAUAUUCCAGUGUUGACAAUAACUUCCAUACUGGCAGACGUGUUCGCAUUUUGAAAUGAGGGCAAUCGCAUUUUAUUUUUGGAUAUAAAUGCAGUAAUUUAAGAACGUAAUUAAAGUCACUGUUCCCCCCCUCCUUCCUCUUUGCUUUCAUUAUCUUUUUCUCUCUACAUCUUCACCCUCCUCCUCUUCCUCCCUCUCUCCUCCACCUCUGAUUGGCAUCUGUCUUUUCGGAGUUUUUUCUUCUGUCCUUCUGUCCUCGACCUUCUUUCUGCUCACCCCCCCCCUUAAAGACGCCCCCCUGUAUUUCUCCUCCUUUGCCCCCCCCCCCCCCCCGACUCCUCCCUCUUGACCUUCUUUACCUCCUAUCUGUGUUUUCCUCAUCUCCCCGGUUGACAUCUCAUCCUCCCCUCCAUCUUUUCCGUCCCCCCUCCCCUCCUGGAUGACGGACCAUCUGGCCUCAGGCAGCCAUCUUUGAACGCUUCGUCACGGGACGCUGCUGAGGCGUCAGCAGCGAUUGGCUGAGAGGGCCCCCAGAAUUUUGGCUGUUCCCGCCUGAGAGACGAGACGAGGUACCGAGGCGCUCAACUCGGCAGAACGAGCCCGGAAACAGACGGACGGGCGGCGUUUCCGCGGUUCUCUGCUCCGCUGACUGACGUUCACGCGCUUUGGUUCGGAUUUAAGGGAAAUGAAACGACUUAAAUCCACAUGUUUUCAUCUGCGGAGAAGAGAGGACGGCUUUCGUGCAUUGUGGCUUUGUGGAACAGCAUCGGGUGCAGUAUGGAACAAAAACAAUUAGCAAACUGAAAACACAUGGAGUGAAAUGAGACUCGUUUGUGUGGACAUGCGAAGGACAUCUGCUCCGGCCUCGUCGCAGACAUCUGAAGCCACAGCCGAUCAGAUGUUCGGCUCCCUGAUGGCUCUUCUCCCGGUUUGAGAAACAAAUCACAGCUUUGUUGCAUGUCGGUUGGAUUAAACAACAUAACGUCGGAAAAGGGAAAAUAAUAAUACCGUGCGAGGACGAGAUCCAAGCAGCUACAGAGAUACGAUGCACGUUAUCGACCACAGGGGGACAUUUAGCUGAGGCAGUGCCGACGUCUCCUCAUACAACAGAUACAUUUUACAACACAUUUUACAAGCAAAAUAAACCCCUUAACUUCUCAGGAAACUCUUCUCUCUCGCUGCUUGGGGUAAAAUAACGGCGAGCAGCUACUGAGGUAUGCGUGUUGUGCUGGAUGGGGGCUGGUCCUCCAGCGAGAUAUAAUAUGAAUGUAUCCAUCAGGCUCACAGCGGUGAGCUCGCACAUCUUGUGGCUACCUGGGGCUUCCCCGCCAACACCGAACCUGCAGGUGAACCAACACAGUCCUUUUUCUUCUUCUGCUGCUUCGGCUGAAAGGAGUGAACUGAAAGUGACCCCCCCCCCCCCGCCCUCCUCACCCCCCCGACAGCCUCUGAGAGCAGCUGGCAAUGAUGGAGGGAAGGAUGAAGGAGAUAACAACUCUUCUAAUUAAGGACAAUGGCCCUCUGGAGAUGGGCACUGAUAUCUCUGGCUGUACUUUGUUCCCGAGCAUGUAGCCAAUCAGGGACACACGUUAACAACGACUGCGGGCGAAAUUCCCCUUCAAAGUUCACCACACGUCUGUGGAUGUAAAGAUGAGGGAGGAAACGGUUUUGAGUUAUUUUCGGGAGCUUGCUGCCAGCUUUGUCAUAAAAGAUUUUGCGUAACACCCAAUAUUUCCGUAACAUUUAUUAUUUCAUAACGGCCUUAAUGCAGAACCACUGUCUGCAGUCAGCCAAAACACAAGACGUGUCACGUCUUUGUUAGCCGAAACGAAAAACAUGCAACUGUGCAAUAGCAACACGCAACGGCAACGACCACAAGAAAUGUCCGUGUUUAGGCGGAAUACAUUCGCCAACAUCUGACGAGGGGACGAGGGGAGUAAAUGCAGCGGACUUUGAGAGAGGAAAACCGCACACGUCCGGCUCCGCAGCCAGAACCGCCGGACCGAACGUUAAGCUAACCGGGCUUGGACCUGAGGCCUCUCACCGCUACCCAGCAUGCUCCUGGAGGUCCGCUGUCCGGGCGCAGCAGCAAUAAGAUGGUUGAAAUAAGACUUCAGUCGAACCGUAAACCGUCAACCUCUACCUGCACGCAAACGUUUUAUUCUUCUCUUAGUUGUAAACAAACCCAAUGUGCUCCUGAACCAGAGGGCGUCCCUCCACAAAACACACUCUGACUCAACACAAUGCGUCAUUAAAACACGUCAUAUAUGUGUCAUGCGCAACAAUCUCUUCACCUUCACCACAACGAGUCUUUCCUCCAAUAUUUUUUACAUCUCUCCUUUAUUCAUAAAUCACUUCCUUGCCUUCGCUCCUCCUCCCUGGAGGAUCUUUUUCAGGAAUAUGCUGCCAGAAGACAAAUUAUAUAAAUAGACACGUGGCUGAAUCUUAUUUUAAGCGUUAUGUAAAGCAUGAUGAAUUGCCUGAUGUGCGAUAUAUCAAUAAACUUCCCCUCUGUCCACUUCCCUCCGUCUGUUAACUCCGUCUCGGCCUUUGUGAUCACAGAAACGAGUGGAGCACAUUACGUCCCUCCCCGUCAUCCCCACAGCGUCCAUCAGAUGUCCACACGUCUCAUUUCAGUCUUGUAUUGUGGGUUUAUGUCCACGAGCUGCGUGUCUCUGUGCGUACAGGAAAACGUGGAGUCAGUCUCGUACUUUCUUUGAAAAAAAGCACCGUAUUUACAUGUAACUACACUGACCUCAUUUCACUUCCAAAGGGGGAGAACGGAGGGAUGAAAGUGGAGCAGAGAGAGAGAGAGGGGGGGAGAGAGGGAGGCAAUAAAUCAUCCUCCACCUUCUGAGCUUUGCUUCUUGUUGUUGCUCUCCCCCAUUGUGAUGAAUCGCCCUUCUCUGGCAAAAGAAAGUAUAAAACAAGAAAAUGAAAGUAAUAAAAUGAGCGAAUGAAAGCGAAGGCCAUUUCACCCCCCGCUGCCUGGUCGUGCAGGACAGGGGGUCUCUCUGGGGGAUGAUGGGGGGGGGGGACGAGUGAGAGAACAGAGGGACGUGUUCUGCUCUUCCCGGAAGGACUUCAUGAGGCGUGAAGAGUUUUCGGAGAAGUUUCAUGGCCGCGGUUGUUCAUCACUCGCUUUCAAAGGUCCAUCCUUUCAUUUUCGUCUCCUUUUCAGCUUUAUAUUCUCCUCCUCUCAAUGCAGGAUGCCACACGGACACAUCUUAGUCCCUCUAACCAGAGAGACACGUUUCUCCUCAACCUGUUUUCAUAAUGGAGAUUAAGAAUAGAUCGCAUCUGAGUUUUUUUUGUGUCUGACCUUGACCUUUGACCUUGAGCUACCCACGCGGAGGUGGACGGGAAGGGAUUCCCCCGACGUGUUCCUGAGAUAUCUGGUUAAACAUAAAACAUAAAAGGCAACAUGCACAAACCACUGUGAGACCAGUGUGUCCCAAGAGAAACAAAAAUUCACAAAUCACUAACAAGCAGAGUUAUUUUGUGAACACGUUUCAUCCCGAUUAACGAGUAAAACCCACCUUUGUUUUGGCGAACCUGAGCUGGAAGUUUAUUUUGAAAAAACACACUCUCGACUCUUUCUGAAGGUAACAAACACUCAUCAUCUUGCUCUGCUCUACUCUCCACUUCCACCUGAGGACAUUGACAUGAACGAUCCCCGAGAGGCGGAAUAUUCUCUCCCGAAUGCAAAACCUGUAUUAUUGAACCUGAUUGGAGCCUUUGAGGCACAGACGUCCUCCGAGGCGCCGUAAUGUGAUUAGAUCGAGGCUUUGCUCUCAGUCAGCUCGCCGCUUUUUUAAUCAAAGUCGAGAUUACGAGCUUUUUAGAUGGCAUCAAAUGUGCCACGCUCGCUAACGGGAUAAUGGGGGUAAUAGCAGGCUUAAGGCAUCCCAAUUUCAAAUGGUAAUAUAACGGUACAGUGGGAACAAAACCGCACUUCAGGUGCAAAUGAGUCGGAGAGAAAAACUCGCUCGGGCUGAAAUAUCAAAGCAGCUCCGAGAAGAAGGAACCGUCUCGUGAAAAUGUUCUUGUUCUUCAACUUGGUCACUACGUGUGAGGAAAGUUAAAGGGGCACCAAGUUGAAUCCGAGUUCACAGUUCUAGUCCAAUAGUAGAACCCAAAUGCUCAUAAUUACAGCUCUUUUUGACGCUGAGUUGCCGGCUGCAGAUUUAAAGAAGCGUCUCCACCAAAGAGAAUGUGAGUACAUGUUGACCUCCGUCCUUUCUGUCUUUGUUUUUCUUCUUUGACUGUGAACUUGUCCCCGGGUCGAGUAGGUCUCCUACUGACUGUCCAUUCGCAUUUAAAAUGAAUUAUAUCUAAAUGUGGAAAUUCACUUUAUGACUGCCUUUCCUCUGUUAUUUAUGUACAUCUUAUUUGUCGUUCUAUGUCUCUAAACCCCAAAAAGUUUUGCUGGUCUUGAAGCAAAAACUAGAGAAAUAAGAUGGACCCUCAACGAAUGGUCACUCAGAACCGGUUGGUGAUGCCGGUCCAGAUUAAUUCAGUUGAUCUAGAAAAACGAGGGAGAGCACAGAAGUGGAUUCUGAAAGAAAAAAUAAUUCUAUAAUAAAUUGAAAAAUUGGAAAAAUUGUCAAAACUGUGAUCAUUGAGACUGAGAGGAUUCAAGGCGACUAACACCUGCACAAUAAUUGUAUUCUGUAGUAAUGUCUCACUUGAGAAAGAAAACGUCAAAGAAGGAAAAAUAACAAAAAGCAAAAGAGAGAAAAACACAAUGGGAAAAGCCGAUGAUGAAGGAGGAGAACCUGGAGGUCGGAGAGAAUAAAGAUUUGUUUACCUCCUCCGGGCCUUAAUGCGAGGAGGCUGGAGAACAGCCGCUGGUGAGCUCAGGUGAACGCACGCCACGGGGGAAAUAACACUCGCCUAAAUCAUGGAAAAGACAGAGGAGAGGAGGGAGUGAGGGAUGGAGAGAAAGAAGAAAGAGGGAAAGGAAGUGAGAGCAAACAAACAGGAUUUUCCACGAGAAACGAGGGAAAACGUUGAAUUAUACAGAGAAAAGUCGGGAGAAAAAUAAAAAAUUGAGUGAGGAAGAGAAAAAAAGAAAAAGGAGAACAAUGCAGGAGGUGAGUAAGAGAAUAACAAGGGGAAAAAAGGAAAACAAGGACCAUCAAAAGAUGCAGAGACACAAAGACACAGAGAUGAAUCCCAAAGUAAGCAGAGAAAGGCAAAGACGCAGAGAAGCCGAAAACAACGAAGGAAGCGAGUAUCGCUGUGUGAGGAGGGAGAGGCGGUGCAGACUCAGACUGGUGGAGUCUGCAGGGUGCACAGGCCUUUGUUAACGAUGGUGUUGAUUAACAGCGAGUGUGUGACGUGCCGAUGCAGCAGCUGUCAUGGACGUUUAUCGCCUUUCUCUCCUCACGUUCCUGCUCAUUUAUCUGUUUCGCUUCUUGCAAUCGUGAUUUGCAAACUGCUGAGGCGCUUUGCCCUGGAGAGUCCAGCAGAAGAACCCAGAGGCCUUGAGGUACGACCUCCGACCCUCGGCUAUGCAUUUGGGAGGGCGGAGCGUUGGGAGGGCGGAGUGAUUGGGAGGGCGGAGCGUUGGGAGGGCGGAGUGAUUGGGAAGGUGGUGCGUUGGGAGGGCGGAGCGUUUGGGAAGCCGGAGCGUUGGGAGGGUGCAGCGUUGGGAGGGCGGAGCGUUUGGAAAGGCAGAGCGUUGAGAGGGCGGAGUGUUUGGGAGGGCAGAGUGUUUGGGAAGGCGGUGCGUUGGGAGGGCGGAGUGAUUGGGAGGGCGGUGCGUUGGGCGGGCGGAGGGUUUGGGAAGGCGGAGCGUUGGGAGGGGCGGACCGUUUGGGAGGGCGGAGCGUUUGGGAAGGCGUAGCGUUGGGGAGGGCGGAGCGUUUGGGAAGGCGUAGCGUUGGGGAGGGCGGAGCGUUUGAGAAGGCGGAGCGUUGGGGAGGGCGGAGCGUUUGGGAAGGCGGAGCGUUUGGGAGGGCGGAGCGUUUGGGAAGUCGGGCCUGGUGCACCCGGCUGGGUAACCUCUCAAACUCCGCCCACUUCCUGUGAUUCCUUUGAACAGUCGUGGGACACCAGCAGCUUUGUGCUUCCUCCGAACAUCACAAGUCAACGACCUGAAAGACACCUUUCCUGGAGCAGCUGCCAGACCGCGAGAGAAAAAACAAAGACGCGAGAGAAAUGGGUUUGAUUUGUUAAAUUUAGAAAAAAGUGGGGAGGGCAACUGUGCAAAUUUUUAAGAAACGUGAAUAAACAAGAAAGAGAUUCAGUGUUUUACCCAGAAUCCCCCCUGUGUGAGACAUGUGCAUCGAGUCCGUUUCCCUCAUGAAUCAUUCAGAGCAGAUAAAUUGAAUUAGGCCCUUGUUGUACUAAGUGUGUGUGUACUAAACGAGUGUUGUACUAAGUGUGUGUCUCUACUAAGUGUGUGUUGUACUAAUUGUGUGUGGGCCGGGUCAAACUCUUUAUUCAGCAACGACUCCUCAAACAGACAGCGCGGAUCAUUGGUACCUUUUCUGCUCUGGUGUGAGCUCAAAGAAAAACACAUUUUUAUUCACAGUGUGUGUGUGUGUGUGUCAUCUUUUUAGAACCACUUGUUAAAAUGCAGAGAAGCGUUCAGGAUGAUGCAGUUUGUGUGUGUGGUGCUGUCGUUUGAGUGCGUGUGCUUGCAGUCGGCGGUGGGGCCGGCUUAGAAGGAGGGUGCAGAGACUCAGAGCCAAAUGGGAACUUCCUGUGCGCCUCGAGGCAGCUGUUGACCGUGGCGGAAAAUAUCUGACUCUCAGAAAAAAGCCGACGUCUCAGUGUGUCCUCAGAAUGCACACACACACACACACACACACACACACACACACACACACACACACACUCUCUCCCCACUCAUAAGCUUGCGGGCAAAUGAGGAUUGCUCUUAUGUCAUACGUGGAGGAGUCUCUCUAUGCAGGAUCACAUAAACACAAACAUGCACUUUGUUUUCGCCACGUUGUCCAUCGGCAGCAGGGACGACAUGUUUUUAUAAUCCGACAGGAAGUUAAAGUCAUCGCUGUGGUUCCCCUGAUAAAAAGUCAUUGGUCAUUAACAUGUGUGAGCAUCAAGGUCAUCUUCCCAAAGGAACGCCGCCGCUCCAUGUGCUGGAAUGUAAAGGAACGUACGAGACGUGGACGGAUUGGCCUGAAACUGGAGGGCGGAGCUAAAGUGUGUACCUUUUAUUGGGUGUGCAUGAGGGCCACGCCAUGGGGGGACACUUCACACUGUAACACAGACACACACAUGUAUAAUACACGUACAUCACAUGUGUAAUGGGCUACCCACACACGCGGAGAUGACAAUCCAUCUUCCCCUCUUUAUUGUUCUCUCUCUCAUUACACCGACACGGAGGGGGGUCGGGGGGGGGUGUAGAUGGGAUGCGGGUUAUUCAACUGUGGUUGCAAAUGAAUACGGUGACUAAUCCUGACAGCGACCACAUGCUACGCGAGAAAGCGUCCUCUGUCUCUUUUGUCCGCUCCUCCGGUUAGUGAGCCGCUCCCCCUCCUAAUGAGAUUCCUAUUUCCUCAUAUAAUCUGCUUAAAGUUAAGACCAGAGACCAGAUCAUUUGGAUCUUCCUCUGGACUGAGGUGGGAGUGUCUCUCCUCACCAGGGUCCCUCUGGCAGACCCCUCAGUCGGUCAUUAUAUAGAAGUGCAAAACCUUUUCCCGCUAUCUGAAAGCAGUGCGACAUUAACACGUCUUCAUUUUAAUCCCAAAUUCUCCAAAUGAAUUUUUCAUAAUCGCACGCAGUAAUAUUUGGGCGGCAUACAUAAUUAAUGAACUCUGUGUUUAACUAGAGUUACUAAUUGUGUAACGUGCAAGCAGCAGAUGUGAACAGCACAGCAGGGGCUGCAUUGAGAGAGACAAAAUCGUCAAAGUGAACUUUUAAUUGAAUUCCAGAUACUCGUCCCCUGAAGCAUUUGCAGGAAUAUGUCAACAUUUAUCUUGACGCUCUGAGGCCACUUCACAGCCGCACACAAUCGGACUGAAGGGUCGGACAAGCACUUUUCCCCCCGGAGACCCAAGAUCGUUAUAUAAAAGUCAGCGUUGAUUUUAUAACCUUUGUACAUCGUUCAUGCUGCUUUCAUGUUUUAGCCAUAGGCUGUUAAUGAAUGAGAAACAAGGCGUCUGAAAAGGUGGUUAAAACAUAAUUCCGUCCUGGAUGUAAUGCACAUCGUAGGGGACAUAAUGUGAACCAGAGUCUCUCAUUUUACUUCACAAUGCAGACAAGUGCAGUCACUUCUGAACCAGCCGCAGUAUUCAGGCAGGACAGAGGCCGGAGAAAUAAUUGAAAGGAAGGUUCUCCGCUAUGCAACUGAUAUUAAUUAACCCGGGCAGCUGGAGGGGGAAAAAGUGCAUAAUCGGCUGCGAAUUACCUCGGCGGAGGUCGCUCUGUGACAGACAAUAAAGAUAUCAUCGGCGGCGUGUCGGGUGAGCCGGCCGGCGGGUGAAUGCAGAUGAGAGCGGGGCGCCUUGCCGGCCUGAUCCAAGGUGAGCGUUUACAUUUUUCUAAAUGGCUCCGGCUGUCUCUGGAGUCUUAAGCGGCGCUCUGAAAUCACGUGGAGUAAAACACGGCGAGCCUUCAAGAUCAGCGAGUCUUACAAGAUGCCGACUGUGCAGAGGUCAGAGGUCAAAGCCGCGCCGGCAGACGCCCGCGUACAGCAGGUCAUUUGUCUGCGAGAGGAUUAAGAACAUACGGAAUACAGUGUGUUCAAUGAAGCGCAAAUAGUUUGAAUUUACAACAAGUACGAAUGAUCCCAGAGUGACGAGACAUCCGAGCAAACGUCCAAACUAAAUCCAUCCAUUGACUCAUCAGUAUGAACCGUGCUGACCCACCGUCGCCCUCCUCUACGAUUUUCAGGAUUUGCACUCGCAGACCUUUCCAGAUGUUCAAACUGAUUGAGGCGUCCAUCACAGAUGAGCGGAAUUUCGCCGAAUUUCUGACACAUUUCUUUUUUUAAUUGGAAAAAUUUGCAAACCUGCUGAUGUCAGCGGUCCCCUCUGACUGCGUUCCGAGCGGCAUUCUCUACCUUCUCUUUGCUCACUGCCCGAUGCAUCCCAUAAUAGUCCCGUCUAUAACGAGAGGUGAUUGGCUGUCAUGAUGAAUAAACAUUAUUCUGAUCCUGAGGUAUGAAUGUACGAGCGGCCCUGAUAAGCCCUGCUCGGAACAGGGAGACUGCUGCAAUCUGCAUUCAUUGGACCGUUAUUUGAUGGUACCGGUGUGCGAGUGUGUGUGUGUGUGUGUUUGUGUGUGUGUGUGUGUCCUCUGUAUCUGCAGUGGGACAGGCGUUUAAAUGUAUUCUCUGCCUGCCAGCAGACGUCUGAACACAAUUCCGCAGACGAGCUCUCCCAUUGAUACCGCCGGGCUGUCGGCCCCCGUACCGCCGCUUGUUUGUGUGUGUGCGUCUGUUUUGUGCGUGUCAACACAUCUCUAAAUAUGAUUCCACAGAGUUGCCGGUGUGUGCGGGUGCGCGUGGGAGGAAGACUCUGGACGCGCCUUUUCACCUUCCUUCCUUGGCCCCUUUUCUUUGGCUCCAUCCAAGCGUAGUGACCCCCCCCCCCCCCCAGGCUGCAGGCCGGCAUGAGAAAACAACAAGCCGGGAGUGUGCGCGCACGCCCACAAACACACAAAAAUAGCAGACAAAACAUUUGCACGCACGUCGACUUUCACUGCACACAUUUAUAGUAUUUCUCUGAAGCAGAAACAAACUUUAAACCAGCACAUGAGGACACGGGGCGGAUGAGAACACGCAUGUGGAUAAUGCACACGCCCACAGAGGAAGGAGCCCCCAUUCGCCCCCCCCACCCGGGCCACUGCAGCAGUCUGAGGCCGACGGCUCGGAGAUUUAAAGGCUC
Molecule: long non-coding RNA, 13611 nt
Organism: Gasterosteus aculeatus aculeatus (three-spined stickleback)
Lineage: Eukaryota; Metazoa; Chordata; Actinopteri; Perciformes; Gasterosteidae
Source: Ensembl